RNAcentral lists this ribosomal RNA (500 nucleotides) under Staphylococcus pseudintermedius. RNAcentral's name for it is "bacterial SSU rRNA". It matches the Rfam family "Bacterial small subunit ribosomal RNA", at positions 1036 to 1533 of the family's 1533-position model. The record is from RNAcentral. Lineage: Bacteria; Bacillati; Bacillota; Bacilli; Caryophanales; Staphylococcaceae.
AGGUGGUGCAUGGUUGUCGUCAGCUCGUGUCGUGAGAUGUUGGGUUAAGUCCCGCAACGAGCGCAACCCUUGAACUUAGUUGCCAUCAUUCAGUUGGGCACUCUAAGUUGACUGCCGGUGACAAACCGGAGGAAGGUGGGGAUGACGUCAAAUCAUCAUGCCCCUUAUGAUUUGGGCUACACACGUGCUACAAUGGACAAUACAAAGGGCAGCGAAACCGCGAGGUCAAGCAAAUCCCAUAAAGUUGUUCUCAGUUCGGAUUGUAGUCUGCAACUCGACUACAUGAAGCUGGAAUCGCUAGUAAUCGUAGAUCAGCAUGCUACGGUGAAUACGUUCCCGGGUCUUGUACACACCGCCCGUCACACCACGAGAGUUUGUAACACCCGAAGCCGGUGGAGUAACCAUUUUGGAGCUAGCCGUCGAAGGUGGGACAAAUGAUUGGGGUGAAGUCGUAACAAGGUAGCCGUAUCGGAAGGUGCGGCUGGAUCACCUCCUUUCUA